AGAGUUUGAUCAUGGCUCAGGAUGAACGCUGGCGGCGUGCCUAAGGCAUGCAAGUCGUACGCUACACAAUUUUUUAAUCGUGUAGAGUGGCAGACGGGAGAGUAACACAUUGGUAACCUACCUCGAAGUCGUGAAUAACCCACCGAAAGGCGGGCUAAUACACGAUAAAAAUGGGGGGACAUAAGUCAUUCCCAUUUAAAGUUCCGGCGCUUCGAGAGGGGCCUAUGGCCUAUCAGCUUGUUGGUGAGGUAAAAGCUCACCAAGGCAACGACGGGUAGCGGGUGUGAGAGCAUGGCCCGCCUCACUGGGACUGAGACACUGCCCAGACUCCUACGGGAGGCUGCAGUCAGGAAUCUUCCGCAAUGCCCGCAAGGGUGACGGAGCGACGCCGCGUGACCGAUGACGCCCCUCGGGGUGUAAAGGUCUUUUAUUAGGGACGAACAAAUGACGGUACCUAAUGAAUAAGGGGCUGCUAAACUCGUGCCAGCAGCAGCGGUAAUACGAGUGCCCCAAGCGUUAUCCGGAUUUAUUGGGCGUAAAGCGUGCGCAGGCGGCUUAUUAAGUUAAAGGUAAAAGCCCGAAGCUCAACUUCGGUUCUGCCUUUAAUACUGAUAAGCUAGAGGCUGGGAGAGGCAAGCGGAAUUGCCGGUGUAGGGGUAAAAUCCGUUAAUAUCGGCAGGAACACCAAAUGCGAAGGCAGCUUGCUAGAACAGUUCUGACGCUGUCGCACGAAAGCGUGGGGAGCGAAGAGGAUUAGAUACCCUCGUAGUCCACGCCGUAAACGAUGGGCACUAGACAUUGGAAGUAUCGACCCUUUCAGUGUCGUUCUACUUAAGCUAACGCGUUAAGUGCCCCGCCUGGGGAGUACGGCCGCAAGGCUAAAACUCAAAGGAAUUGACGGGGACCCGCACAAGCGGUGGAGCAUGUGGUUUAAUUCGACAAUAAGCGAAGAACCUUACCAGGGCUUGACAUCUCGGGAAUCUCCCUUAAUCGGGAGAGUGCCGUAAGGAACCCGAUGACAGGCGCUGCAUGGUUGUCGUCAGCUCGUGUCGUGAGAUGUACGGUUAAGUCCGGUAACGAGCGCAACCCUCGUUCUAUGUUAGAAAUGUCAUAGAAGACUGCCAGCUUUAAGCUGGAGGAAGGUGGGGAUGACGUCAAAUCAGCAUGGCCCUUACGUCCUGGGCGACACACGUGCUACAAUGGCCGGUACAAUGGGCAGCCAAGCCGCAAGGCGGAGCUAAUCCCAUCAAAGCCGGUCUCAGUUCGGAUUGGGGUCUGCAACUCGACCUCAUGAAGUCGGAAUCGCUAGUAACCGCGUAUCAGCCAUGGCGCGGCGAAUACGUUCUCGGGUCUUGCACACACCGCCCGU
This 1369-nucleotide ribosomal RNA is filed under the name uncultured bacterium. RNAcentral's name for it is "bacterial SSU rRNA". It matches the Rfam family "Bacterial small subunit ribosomal RNA". The record is from RNAcentral.